This 404-nucleotide ribosomal RNA is filed under the name Actinomycetes bacterium. RNAcentral describes it as "Actinobacteria bacterium partial 16S ribosomal RNA". It matches the Rfam family "Bacterial small subunit ribosomal RNA", at positions 355 to 776 of the family's 1533-position model. Lineage: Bacteria; Bacillati; Actinomycetota; Actinomycetes. The record is from RNAcentral.
UGGGGAAUAUUGGACAAUGGGCGCAAGCCUGAUCCAGCCAUGCCGCGUGAGUGAUGAAGGCCCUAGGGUUGUAAAGCUCUUUCACCGGUGAAGAUAAUGACGGUAACCGGAGAAGAAGCCCCGGCUAACUUCGUGCCAGCAGCCGCGGUAAUACGAAGGGGGCUAGCGCUGUUCGGAUUUACUGGGCGUAAAGCGCACGUAGGCGGACUUUUAAGUCAGGGCUGAAAUCCCGGGGCUCAACCCCGGAACUGCCUUUGAUACUGGAAGUCUUGAGUAUGGUAGAGGUGAGUGGAAUUCCGAGUGUAGAGGUGAAAUUCGUAGAUAUUCGGAGGAACACCAGUGGCGAAGGCGGCUCACUGGACCAUUACUGACGCUGAGGUGCGAAAGCGUGGGGAGCAAACAGG